UACGUAGGGGGCAAGCGUUGUCCGGAAUCAUUGGGCGUAAAGCGCGUGUAGGCGGCUCGAUAAGUCUGCUGUGAAAGUCCAGGGCUCAACCCUGGAAUGCCGGUGGAUACUGUCGAGCUCGAGUCCGGAAGAAGCGAGUGGAAUUCCUGGUGUAGCGGUGAAAUGCGCAGAUAUCAGGGGGAACACCGAUGGCGAAGGCAGCUCGCUGGGACGUGACUGACGCUGAGACGCGAAAGCGUGGGGAGCGAACAGG
This 253-nucleotide ribosomal RNA is filed under the name uncultured bacterium. Its description in RNAcentral is "partial 16S ribosomal RNA". It matches the Rfam family "Bacterial small subunit ribosomal RNA", at positions 524 to 776 of the family's 1533-position model. The record is from RNAcentral.